GUCCACGCCGUAAACGAUGUCGACUAGCCGUUGGGCCCUUUUAGGGUUUAGUGGCGCAGCUAACGCAUUAAGUCGACCGCCUGGGGAGUACGGCCGCAAGGUUAAAACUCAAAUGAAUUGACGGGGCCCGCACAAGCGGUGGAGCAUGUGGUUUAAUUCGAUGCAACGCGAAGAACCUUACCUACCCUUGACAUGUCUGAAAUCCCUGAGAGAUUGGGGAGUGCCUUCGGGAAUCAGAACACAGGUGCUGCAUGGCUGUCGU
This 262-nucleotide ribosomal RNA is filed under the name uncultured bacterium. RNAcentral describes it as "partial 16S ribosomal RNA". It matches the Rfam family "Bacterial small subunit ribosomal RNA", at positions 793 to 1055 of the family's 1533-position model. The record is from RNAcentral.